RNAcentral lists this ribosomal RNA (514 nucleotides) under uncultured bacterium. RNAcentral describes it as "bacterial SSU rRNA". It matches the Rfam family "Bacterial small subunit ribosomal RNA", at positions 28 to 535 of the family's 1533-position model. The record is from RNAcentral.
GACGAACGCUGGCGGCGUGCUUAACACAUGCAAGUUGAACGGAAUAUGUUGGAAGGGUAACCGGAAGGCAUAUUUAGUGGCGAACGGGUGAGUAAUGCAUGAGAACGUAUCCUCAAGAGGGGGACAACAUUGGGAAACCGAUGCUAAUACCCCAUAAGCCGGGAGGUAAAAGGAGCAAUCCGCUUGAGGAGCGGUUCAUGUCCUAUCAGCUAGUUGGUGAGGUAACGGCUCACCAAGGCGAAGACGGGUAGCCGGCCUGAGAGGGUGAACGGCCACACUGGAACUGAGAGACGGUCCAGACUCCUACGGGAGGCAGCAGUGGGGAAUUUUGGACAAUGGGCGCAAGCCUGAUCCAGCAAUGCCGCGUGCAGGAUGAAGGCCUUCGGUUGUAAACUAGCUUUUGUUACGGUAACGAAAAGGACUACUGGUUAAUACCUAGGGGCGUCAUGACGGUACCGUAAGAAUAAAGACACCGGCUAACUACGUGCCAGCAGCCGCGGUAAGAGUACUCUAU